RNAcentral lists this ribosomal RNA (500 nucleotides) under uncultured bacterium. RNAcentral's name for it is "partial 16S ribosomal RNA". It matches the Rfam family "Bacterial small subunit ribosomal RNA", at positions 28 to 507 of the family's 1533-position model. The record is from RNAcentral.
GACGAACGCUGGCGGCGUGCUUAACACAUGCAAGUCGAACGGAUCUGCCCUGUUUUUUGCGGGGUGGGUCAGUGGCGAACGGGGGAGUAACACGUGAGUAACCUGCCCCUCACUUCUGGAUAACCGCCUGAAAGGGUGGCUAAUACGGGGUGUUCUGGCUGUGCCGCAUGGUGUGGCUGGGAAAGAUUCACUUUUUUGGUGUUUUGGUGGGGGAUGGGCUGGCGGCCUAUCAGCUUGUUGGUGGGGUGAUGGCCUGCCAAGGCUAUGACUGGUAGCCGGCAUGGGGGGGUGGGCGGUCAUAGUGGGACGGCGAGGCGGCGCAGACUACGGCGGGAGGCAGCAGGGGAGGGUAUUGCACGAUGGGCGGAAGGCUGAUGCAGCGACGUCGCGGGAGGGAUGGAGGCCGUCGGGUUGUGAACUGCUUUCGGCGGUGAAGAAGGUCCUGCGUUUUGUGGUGGGGUUGACGGUAGCCGGGUCAUGAAGCGCCGGCUAACUACGUG